Gopherus evgoodei (Goodes thornscrub tortoise) is the source of this 108-nucleotide long non-coding RNA. RefSeq lists it as uncharacterized. The record is from RefSeq and is a predicted model, not a curated record. The transcript is spliced from 3 exons. Lineage: Eukaryota; Metazoa; Chordata; Testudines; Testudinidae.
UUUCUUUCAGUGUACCUUGGGGGGAGGCAUAGCUCAGUGGUUUGAGCAUUGGCCUGCUAAACCCAGGGUAGUGCGUUCAGUCCUUGAGGGCUCUGUUUAGAGAACUGG